GAAAAAAAAACAAGACCUCCCAAUUUGUGACCCAGGCUUUAGGCUGGGUCAGGCUUGGUAUUGUAUAUAACUUUUAACGAAAGUGGGAGUGUUUAAAUUGGAAAAAAUGGGAUUCAGAGGGCGUUUCAUUUUUCGCUGAAAUUCAGGGUUUUUUCUGAGUACAAUUGGGCCUCCUCUUUAACAAGCUCUGUGGAGUUCAUUGCACAACCUGGGACUGACUUCAACCCUGUAAAAUUUGAAAAGCCAUGCAUCCGGUUCCUUUUCAUGCGACUCCUGCAGCACCUUCUCCUCCCUGGUUCCCGAUGUUACCCCCUAAUCCACCACAGUCGACUCCUUUUUGGGACACCAAAAAUGUGCAUGAUCGGCUGAAAGAGUUACAAGACACGUUAACUCUAGCUACAUCAAUGCAGAAAGAGCUUGAGAUGUUGAUGACAAUCAAAAGCACUGAAGGCUCUGUGGAAGAUGGGGAAGGGGAAUCUACCAACCCUUAUGCAUGUGGGUUUUACAAGUAUUUGAAAGAUAGGAAAAUUGAUUUGGAAGCACAGGAAUCACUUUCGGUGAAUGCUGCAAAUGCUUUGAUGUCAAGAUUAAGAGCUCAAUUAGAGCCAUUUAGAGUUAUUAUAGAUGAUGCCACUCCAUGGGAAGAGAAAUCAAUGGCAGCUAGAUUGUCUAAUAAAAUAUUGAAGUCCAAGCGUAAUAAACUUUGGAGGAAGAGGAAGAGACAACGUGCUGCAGAAAUCCGCACAAAGGAGCAUGAACAAUUUGAUCAAGCUGAUCGUGUAGUUGAUGAAUGGAGGGCUAGGGAGAUAGCAAGGGAUGCUGCACAACUCAAGGUGGAAAAGAUGAAAGAAAUUGCAAAGCUUAAAGCAAAAGAAGAGAGGAAGAGGCUAGAAUCUGAGCUUGAGCUGGUAUUGGUUGUGGAGAAGUUGCAAGAAUUGCGCUCCAUCAGGAUUCAAAAAAUGAAGAAACAAGGACAUUUUCUCCCCGAGGAGGAUGACAAGUUUCUUGAGAGAGUUCGAGCUGCAGUUGAGGAAGAAGAGCGCCAAGCAAUGGCUGCAGCUGAAACAGAUGCUGCCAAGGGUGCCAUAGCAACGGCUGAGGAAUCUAGGAAAACAAUCCAGAGUGGUGGGCCGCACUCAAAAGAUGCAAGUGAUGACAAAGAUGGAAUGAAGGAAAGUAAUGAUGAAAUAAACAAGAGCACGGACAAUUUAGGCUCCGGUGCAGCUCCUGGUCCAUCUGGAGAAAAAGGAUCCAAAGGUCAACUUUAUGGUGGAGCUUAUGAUUCUGUAGCAAAUUUGCCAAUUGAAUUCUACCACUAUUAUCAUGGCAGCAAUAACGAUAUGGGCACACUUAUCGAGGUUAGAAGAACAUGGGAUGCGUAUAUAAGACCAGGAGGAAGCCGCAUACCAGGGCACUGGGUUCAGCCACCACCUCCGGCAGAUGAUAUAUGGGCAUCCCACCUCGUUAGGCCUAAAUGAAUGGAUUGCAACCAAGUAUCAGUUUGGCUUCUGCACCUACUAAUCCUUCCCAUGUCGGUGUAUUGUGAAGAAACUGGGGACUUUUAUGCAGCUAUACAAGUCUGCAAACUUUCCUUGUUUACAAUAAAAUUCUGGUGCAUAUAACGGACCGUAAAGCCCGGAAAAAAGGAAAUAGAACUACUUGCAUAGCCUGAAGUUUCCUAGGUUACAAAAACCUCUGCAAUUUAUCCUCAUCGCACAAUCUGGAGGCUCUGUGAAUGAAAUAAGUAAACCUGUGACUUUCAUCAAUACCCACCCAUGGCCAAUCCAUCAGCACAGAUACUGGCUUCUGUAAACACGGGUAACUGUCAUAUCCCAAUCCUUGUGGAGAAACCCUGAAAUAAGUUUAAUCCAGCUGCUAGCACAAGGCUCGUGCAUCGGUCCCUGUAUGUUACCUCUGAUGGAAUGAUACACUGAUUCACAACCUGCCUCCAACCGCACAGCCGUUAAGUCAGAAAUCCUUUCCGAAUCUAAACCAAAUUUCACCGCCCAAAGUUUCUUGCCCCAUUCUCCCUCAUUUAUAGUAACUGAACUGGACAAUUUGUUUGAACAGCCAACUGCGCCGCUUGGCAAAUGGUUAGCUGUUCUGUAUUCAUUUCAGUAUAUUUCUCAAAAUAAAGAAAACCCAUUAACAUUUAACAGUUCCUGGUUCUUGUUCAGACAACAUGGUAUCCUUCAACUAGUGAUGUUCAUCUCCAGAAAGUCUAGUUGACUGAAACAAUAAACUCAUUUUAAGUUAAAAGCAUCUGGUGGCUCACCUACAUGUUAAAGCAGUGAUAAUGUCCUCCAUUUAAAUUUUCCUUUCGGAGAAAAAGUUCUCCAGUGGUUUUACCUUGUCCAUUAUCCAGAGUAUUCUUGCCUUUCACAAGAUAAAUGUUUAGCUUGGCCUGGCGGAUUCAUUGAGUAUAAAUGGACUUUUCUUCAGGGGAAAGAAAAAUCAGUAGCUAUCGUUUAAAAAUAUAGUCUUUUCAAUUGAAAGAUCAGGAUAGAAAAGUGAGAUGCAAGACUGGACAGACAUUGAUAUUUAGCCGAGGGUUCAAGACGGCCCGUCAUGAGAAAUUCCGGGCAUCCUACGAUUCGGCAAAUUAAUCUGCGAAGGCAUUUUAUGAUUGUUAGAGAGGCCUCAAUUUAUAGAGUUCCUUACCCCUCUGCUGGGACCUUCGCAUUGCAUCGGAGUUUAAAGAGAUGACAAUUUCAAGUAUAAUUAUACAUGUACGAAAAUCAGAUCUGUGAACUCAAAAUCACAAGAAAUAGAUCAAAGUUCAUGCGAAAUCUGUCAUUCGAUCCUAAUUUUCGAAGGCAAACUUGGAAAAUGAGUGCACUUUUAUAGCACUCCCUCCAUAGGUACCUUCGUUGCAAAAACUUUAAAUCCACUCCAGACAAGAAGAUAGAAGUAUAGGAAAUCAUAGAUGCUCAGUGAA
RNA transcript from Populus euphratica (Euphrates poplar), 2938 nucleotides. It is a transcript of the gene named U11/U12 small nuclear ribonucleoprotein, with no coding region annotated. The transcript has 10 exons. The record is from RefSeq and is a predicted model, not a curated record. NCBI's taxonomy places the organism in Eukaryota, Viridiplantae, Streptophyta, Magnoliopsida, Malpighiales, Salicaceae.